Bombina bombina (fire-bellied toad) is the source of this 111-nucleotide small nuclear RNA. RefSeq annotates it as U5 spliceosomal RNA. The record is from RefSeq and is a predicted model, not a curated record. The transcript has a single exon. NCBI's taxonomy places the organism in Eukaryota, Metazoa, Chordata, Amphibia, Anura, Bombinatoridae.
GCUCUCUGUUUUCUCUUUAAAUCAUAUAAAUCUUUCACAUUUUAUAAAGAUUUCCAUGGAGAGAAACAACUAUGAGUUUUAAAUAAUUUUUGAGGCUCUACAUGGUAGAGC